GAGCGGACAGAUGGGAGCUUGCUCCCUGAUGUUAGCGGCGGACGGGUGAGUACACGUGGGUAACCUGCCUGUAAGACUGGGAUAACUCCGGGAAACCGGGGCUAAUACCGGAUGGUUGUUUGAACCGCAUGGUUCAAACAUAAAAGGUGGCUUCGGCUACCACUUACAGAUGGACCCGCGGCGCAUUAGCUAGUUGGUGAGGUAACGGCUCACCAAGGCAACGAUGCGUAGCCGACCUGAGAGGGUGAUCGGCCACACUGGGACUGAGACACGGCCCAGACUCCUACGGGAGGCAGCAGUAGGGAAUCUUCCGCAAUGGACGAAAGUCUGACGGAGCAACGCCGCGUGAGUGAUGAAGGUUUUCGGAUCGUAAAGCUCUGUUGUUAGGGAAGAACAAGUACCGUUCGAAUAGGGCGGUACCUUGACGGUACCUAACCAGAAAGCCACGGCUAACUACGUGCCAGCAGCCGCGGUAAUACGUAGGUGGCAAGCGUUGUCCGGAAUUAUUGGGCGUAAAGGGCUCGCAGGCGGUUUCUUAAGUGUGAUGUGAAGCCCCCGGCUCAACCGGGGAGGGUCAUUGAGGACUGGGAACUGAG
This 596-nucleotide ribosomal RNA is filed under the name Bacillus subtilis. Its description in RNAcentral is "bacterial SSU rRNA". It matches the Rfam family "Bacterial small subunit ribosomal RNA", at positions 64 to 645 of the family's 1533-position model. Lineage: Bacteria; Bacillati; Bacillota; Bacilli; Caryophanales; Bacillaceae. The record is from RNAcentral.